Molecule: long non-coding RNA, 1101 nt
Organism: Haplochromis burtoni (Burton's mouthbrooder)
Lineage: Eukaryota; Metazoa; Chordata; Actinopteri; Cichliformes; Cichlidae
Exons: 5
Source: RefSeq, a predicted model, not a curated record
ACAUCAGCGGUCAUGGAGAGUCUCCAUCCAGCUGGAUCACUGUCACAGGGGAACACACCACCACACCUCCACCUACAUCCACGCCUCCACCUACAUCCACCUCACCUUUUGUUCUCUCUGCGUUAUCAUGUGUUGGAUCAGUGUGUGUUGUGGUUCCACUGGUGUUACUGGUUCUCCUGGUGAGACGAUGUGUUCACAGGAAACCUGAAGAAUAUCAUAAAGAUGUUUUAGAAGAUGAAAUCAUCACUCAUGUCAUGUACGACGCCAUCAAGAUAUCAAAUCAGCAGCAGCAGCCAAUCAGACAACAGAGAGAGACAGAUUCGGUUGUAGUCUACCCAGGAGGGAGAACUGAAGACGUCAGUUAUGGCCGGACAGCCAUCAGAACAAAGAGUCCCAGACUUUAAACCAGAGCCAGACGUCGUCUACUGUUCACUGAAGUAGUCCACCAGUCCAACCACUAACGUCCAGCUACUGGUCUCUAACUGGUUCAUCCCAGCACCUCAGACUAGAGGACAUCCACAUGUUACAGAGAUUUUUAUAAGUAUUUUCAUCUUGGUUGAAAAAGCUAAAAAUCACCAAACGAAACUUUUUUGUGUUUCCUGGAUUUCUGCAACAUCAACAAAUUUUCGCUCUCACUUGCAUUUCUCACGUGGGUCUCUGGGUUUCUAAAAUACGUCCUGUGGAAAUUUUGAUUUGUUGCUGUUUUGCUGUGGCUAACCGACACCCACCUGUCUGCAGAAUACAGCGAAAACCAACGAGCUGCAAACAGAAAAAAACAGGAUCAUCAUGCUUUGGUUAGAGCAGCUUCAGUACAGUAAAGGUGUCUGUUUGAUGUCGAAGGCUUUUUUCUCACCUUGAAACCAACCAGCAGCAGCUGACACAGAAAUUUUUUUUUUACAGAGCUGAAUGGUUUUGGUUUCUGCUGAACUUGAAGCUCAUGAAUUUGUGACUCUGAUGACUUCUUGACUUUUGUCACACAUGUAUUUUAAACUAAUUUUAAUAUUGAACAAAGAUAACCCAAACCUGGAGUGUUUGUUAACCUUCUGACAAAUGUAAAAAAGAAAAAUAAAGACAGAAAUGAGAUACCAGUGUGUGUUUUUG